CCUACGGGAGGCAGCAGUGGGGAAUUUUGCGCAAUGGGCGAAAGCCUGACGCAGCAACGCCGCGUGCGGGAUGAAGGCCUUCGGGUUGUAAACCGCUUUCAGCAGGGAUGAAAUUGACAGUACCUGCAGAAGAAGCCCCGGCUAACUACGUGCCAGCAGCCGCGGUAAUACGUAGGGGGCAAGCGUUAUCCGAAUUCAUUGGGCGUAAAGAGCGCGUAGGCGGAUUGUUAAGCGCGAUGUGAAAACUGGGGGCUCAACCCGCAGCCUGCAUCGCGAACUGGCAGUCUUGAGUCUGGUAGAGGAGUGUGGAAUUCCCAGUGUAGCGGUGAAAUGCGCAGAUAUUGGGAGGAACACCGGUGGCGAAGGCGGCACUCUGGGCCACGACUGACGCUGAGGCGCGAAAGCUAGGGGAGCGAACAGGAUUAGAUACCCUGGUAGUCCUGGCCGUAAACGAUGGGCACUAGGUGUGGGGGGUAUAACUCCCUCCGUGCCGGCAGCUACGACAUAAGUCGCCCGCCGUCGGGAGGUACGGCCGCGAGACUAAACUACAANAGAGUAGACGCGUGAGACGUCGCCGACGACGACGACGAGGGAGAGG
RNAcentral lists this ribosomal RNA (598 nucleotides) under uncultured bacterium. RNAcentral's name for it is "bacterial SSU rRNA". The stretch from base 1 to 518 matches the Rfam family "Bacterial small subunit ribosomal RNA", at positions 338 to 873 of the family's 1533-position model. The record is from RNAcentral.